AUUCCCCUGCGAUGUUUGUGAUUAAUGUAAAGUUUUUGAGCCAACACUUUAGAUCCGGGAGCCUUUACUUGUUAGUGGUGUGCAGGUCUGCCGUUAUCCCGUCCAGGAUAAAUGCGGAAAGCCUUAAGCUACAAUAGGGCACCCACCUUGGACUAAGGUUCAAAAUCAGAGUUAACACGGCAUUCGCGGGGGGCAU
This 196-nucleotide non-coding RNA is filed under the name Deltaproteobacteria bacterium. RNAcentral describes it as "6S RNA". It matches the Rfam family "6S / SsrS RNA". Rfam says of the family: E. coli 6S RNA was the first non coding RNA to be sequenced, but its function was unknown until recently. It consists of 184 nucleotides that fold into an extended hairpin structure with a large single-stranded internal bulge. The record is from RNAcentral. Lineage: Bacteria; Pseudomonadati; Myxococcota; Myxococcia.